GGACCCGCACAAGUAGUGGAGCAUGUGGUUUAAUUCGAAGAUACGCGCAGAACCUUACCAACACUUGACAUGUUCGUCGCGACUUUAAGAGAUUAAAGUUUUCGGUUCGGCCGGACGAAACACAGGUGCUGCAUGGCUGUCGUCAGCUCGUGUCGUGAGAUGUUGGGUUAAGUCCCGCAACGAGCGCAACCCUCACUUUUAGUUGCCAUCAUUUAGUUGGGCACUCUGAAAGAACUGCCAGUGAUAAGCUGGAGGAAGGUGGGGAUGACGUCAAGUCCUCAUGGCCCUUACGUGUUGGGCUACACACGUGCUACAAUGGUAUCCACACAGGAAGCGAAACAGCGAUGUU
This 349-nucleotide ribosomal RNA is filed under the name uncultured bacterium. RNAcentral describes it as "bacterial SSU rRNA". It matches the Rfam family "Bacterial small subunit ribosomal RNA", at positions 917 to 1264 of the family's 1533-position model. The record is from RNAcentral.